This 495-nucleotide ribosomal RNA is filed under the name uncultured Curtobacterium sp. RNAcentral's name for it is "partial 16S ribosomal RNA". Lineage: Bacteria; Bacillati; Actinomycetota; Actinomycetes; Micrococcales; Microbacteriaceae. The record is from RNAcentral.
CACGUAGUUAGCCGGUGCUUUUUCUGCAGGUACCGUCACUUUCGCUUCUUCCCUACUAAAAGAGGUUUACAACCCGAAGGCCGUCAUCCCUCACGCGGCGUUGCUGCAUCAGGCUUUCGCCCAUUGUGCAAUAUUCCCCACUGCUGCCUCCCGUAGGAGUCUCGGGCCGUGUCUCAGUCCCAGUGUGGCCGGUCACCCUCUCAGGCCGGCUACCCGUCGUCGCCUUGGUGAGCCAUUACCUCACCAACAAGCUGAUAGGCCGCGAGUCCAUCCCCAACCAAAAAAUCUUUCCACCACCAGACCAUGUCGGCCGGCAGUCAUAUCCAGUACUUAGACGUCGUUUCCAACGCUUAUCCCAGAGUCAGGGGCAGGUUACUCACGUGUUACUCACCCGUUCGCCACUAAUCCACCCAGCAAGCUAGGGCACCAUCGUUCGACUUGCAUGUGUUAAGCACGUCCGCCAGCGUUCGUCCUGUACGCCACGGAUCGAACUCU